GUCUAAGGCUAUGCCACCCUGAAGCUCAAUCCCGCCUGAUCUCGGAAGAUAAGCAGGGUGUGCCUGGUUAGUACUUGGACGGGAGACCACCUACAAAGACCAGGUGCUGUAGACG
This 115-nucleotide ribosomal RNA is filed under the name Pteropus alecto (black flying fox). The record is from RNAcentral. Lineage: Eukaryota; Metazoa; Chordata; Mammalia; Chiroptera; Pteropodidae.